UCCCUUCACUAUUACCACAAC
RNAcentral lists this non-coding RNA (21 nucleotides) under Caenorhabditis elegans. The record is from RNAcentral. Lineage: Eukaryota; Metazoa; Nematoda; Chromadorea; Rhabditida; Rhabditidae.